GACGAACGCUGGCGGCGUGCUUAACACAUGCAAGUCGAACGGAAAGGCCCUGCUUUUGUGGGGUGCUCGAGUGGCGAACGGGUGAGUAGCACGUGAGUAACCUGCCCUUGACUUUGGGAUGACUUCAGGAAACUGGGGCUAAUACCGGAUAGGAGCUCCUGCUGCAUGGUGGGGGUUGGAAAGUUUCGGCGGUUGGGGAUGGACUCGCGGCUUAUCAGCUUGUUGGUGGGGUAGUGGCUUACCAAGGCUUUGACGGGUAGCCGGCCUGAGAGGGUGACCGGCCACAUUGGGACUGAGAUACGGCCCAGACUCCUACGGGAGGCAGCAGUGGGGAAUAUUGCACAAUGGGCGGAAGCCUGAUGCAGCAACGCCGCGUGCGGGAUGACGGCCUUCGGGUUGUAAACCGCUUUCGCCUGUGACGAAGCGUGAGUGACGGUAAUGGGUAAAGAAGCACCGGCUAACUACGU
Molecule: ribosomal RNA, 467 nt
Filed under: uncultured bacterium
Lineage: Bacteria
Description: partial 16S ribosomal RNA
Rfam family: Bacterial small subunit ribosomal RNA
Source: RNAcentral